UGUUGGGGUUGUAGGACACUCUAUACGGAGUUACAAAGGACGACAUUAGACGAAUCAUCUGGAAAGAUGAAUCAAAGAAGGUAAUAAUCCUGUAGUCGAAAAUGUUGUCUCUCUUGAGUGGAUCCUGAGUACGACGGAGCACGUGAAAUUCCGUCGGAAUCUGGGAGGACCAUCUCCUAAGGCUAAAUACUCUCUAGUGACCGAUAGUGAACCAGUACCGUGAGGGAAAGGUGAAAAGCACCCCGGAAGGGGAGUGAAAUAGAACCUGAAACCGUGUGCUUACAAGUAGUCAGAGCCCGUUAAUGGGUGAUGGCGUGCCUUUUGUAGAAUGAACCGGCGAGUUACGAUUUGAUGCAAGGUUAAGCAGUAAAUGUGGAGCCGUAGCGAAAGCGAGUCUGAAUAGGGCGUUUAGUAUUUGGUCGUAGACCCGAAACCAGGUGAUCUACCCUUGGUCAGGUUGAAGUUCAGGUAACACUGAAUGGAGGACCGAACCGACUUACGUUGAAAAGUGAGCGGAUGAACUGAGGGUAGCGGAGAAAUUCCAAUCGAACCUGGAGAUAGCUGGUUCUCUCCGAAAUAGCUUUAGGGCUAGCCUCAAGUGAUGAUUAUUGGAGGUAGAGCACUGUUUGGACGAGGGGCCCCUCUCGGGUUACCGAAUUCAGACAAACUCCGAAUGCCAAUUAAUUUAACUUGGGAGUCAGAACAUGGGUGAUAAGGUCCGUGUUCGAAAGGGAAACAGCCCAGACCACCAGCUAAGGUCCCAAAAUAUAUGUUAAGUGGAAAAGGAUGUGGCGUUGCCCAGACAACUAGGAUGUUGGCUUAGAAGCAGCCAUCAUUUAAAGAGUGCGUAAUAGCUCACUAGUCGAGUGACACUGCGCCGAAAAUGUACCGGGGCUAAACAUAUUACCGAAGCUGUGGAUUGUCCUUUGGACAAUGGUAGGAGAGCGUUCUAAGGGCGUUGAAGCAUGAUCGUAAGGACAUGUGGAGCGCUUAGAAGUGAGAAUGCCGGUGUGAGUAGCGAAAGACGGGUGAGAAUCCCGUCCACCGAUUGACUAAGGUUUCCAGAGGAAGGCUCGUCCGCUCUGGGUUAGUCGGGUCCUAAGCUGAGGCCGACAGGCGUAGGCGAUGGAUAACAGGUUGAUAUUCCUGUACCACCUAUAAUCGUUUUAAUCGAUGGGGGGACGCAGUAGGAUAGGCGAAGCGUGCGAUUGGAUUGCACGUCUAAGCAGUAAGGCUGAGUAUUAGGCAAAUCCGGUACUCAUUAAGGCUGAGCUGUGAUGGGGAGAAGACAUUGUGUCUUCGAGUCGUUGAUUUCACACUGCCGAGAAAAGCCUCUAGAUAGAAAAUAGGUGCCCGUACCGCAAACCGACACAGGUAGUCAAGAUGAGAAUUCUAAGGUGAGCGAGCGAACUCUCGUUAAGGAACUCGGCAAAAUGACCCCGUAACUUCGGGAGAAGGGGUGCUCUUUAGGGUUAACGCCCAGAAGAGCCGCAGUGAAUAGGCCCAAGCGACUGUUUAUCAAAAACACAGGUCUCUGCUAAACCGUAAGGUGAUGUAUAGGGGCUGACGCCUGCCCGGUGCUGGAAGGUUAAGAGGAGUGGUUAGCUUCUGCGAAGCUACGAAUCGAAGCCCCAGUAAACGGCGGCCGUAACUAUAACGGUCCUAAGGUAGCGAAAUUCCUUGUCGGGUAAGUUCCGACCCGCACGAAAGGCGUAACGAUUUGGGCACUGUCUCAACGAGAGACUCGGUGAAAUCAUAGUACCUGUGAAGAUGCAGGUUACCCGCGACAGGACGGAAAGACCCCGUGGAGCUUUACUGUAGCCUGAUAUUGAAAUUCGGCACAGCUUGUACAGGAUAGGUAGGAGCCUUUGAAACGUGAGCGCUAGCUUACGUGGAGGCGCUGGUGGGAUACUACCCUAGCUGUGUUGGCUUUCUAACCCGCACCACUUAUCGUGGUGGGAGACAGUGUCAGGCGGGCAGUUUGACUGGGGCGGUCGCCUCCUAAAAGGUAACGGAGGCGCUCAAAGGUUCCCUCAGAAUGGUUGGAAAUCAUUCAUAGAGUGUAAAGGCAUAAGGGAGCUUGACUGCGAGACCUACAAGUCGAGCAGGGUCGAAAGACGGACUUAGUGAUCCGGUGGUUCCGCAUGGAAGGGCCAUCGCUCAACGGAUAAAAGCUACCCCGGGGAUAACAGGCUUAUCUCCCCCAAGAGUUCACAUCGACGGGGAGGUUUGGCACCUCGAUGUCGGCUCAUCGCAUCCUGGGGCUGUAGUCGGUCCCAAGGGUUGGGCUGUUCGCCCAUUAAAGCGGUACGCGAGCUGGGUUCAGAACGUCGUGAGACAGUUCGGUCCCUAUCCGUCGUGGGCGUAGGAAAUUUGAGAGGAGCUGUCCUUAGUACGAGAGGACCGGGAUGGACAUACCUCUGGUGUACCAGUUGUCGUGCCAACGGCAUAGCUGGGUAGCUAUGUGUGGACGGGAUAAGUGCUGAAAGCAUCUAAGCAUGAAGCCCCCCUCAAGAUGAGAUUUCCCAACUUCGGUUAUAAGAUCCCUCAAAGAUGAUGAGGUUAAUAGGUUCGAGGUGGAAGCAUGGUGACAUGUGGAGCUGACGAAUACUAA
This 2614-nucleotide ribosomal RNA is filed under the name Staphylococcus aureus. RNAcentral describes it as "partial 23S ribosomal RNA". It matches the Rfam family "Bacterial large subunit ribosomal RNA", at positions 290 to 2904 of the family's 2925-position model. The record is from RNAcentral. Lineage: Bacteria; Bacillati; Bacillota; Bacilli; Caryophanales; Staphylococcaceae.